CAGUAGCCACGGUAAUACAGAGGGUGCGAGCGUUAAUCGGAUUUACUGGGCGUAAAGCGUGCGUAGGCGGCUUUUUAAGUCGGAUGUGAAAUCCCUGAGCUUAACUUGGGAAUUGCAUUCGAUACUGGUUAGCUAGAGUGUGGGAGAGGAUGGUAGAAUUCCAGGUGUAGCGGUGAAAUGCGUAGAGAUCUGGAGGAAUACCGAUGGCGAAGGCAGCCAUCUGGCCUAACACUGACGCUGAGGUACGAAAGCAUGGGGAGCAAACAGGAUUAGAUACCCCGGUAGUCCCUGUCUCUUAUAC
Molecule: ribosomal RNA, 301 nt
Filed under: uncultured bacterium
Lineage: Bacteria
Description: partial 16S ribosomal RNA
Rfam family: Bacterial small subunit ribosomal RNA
Source: RNAcentral